RNAcentral lists this ribosomal RNA (449 nucleotides) under uncultured bacterium. Its description in RNAcentral is "partial 16S ribosomal RNA". It matches the Rfam family "Bacterial small subunit ribosomal RNA", at positions 338 to 795 of the family's 1533-position model. The record is from RNAcentral.
CCUACGGGUGGCUGCAGUGGGGAAUUUUGGACAAUGGGCGCAAGCCUGAUCCAGCAAUGCCGCGUGCAGGAUGAAGGCCUUCGGGUUGUAAACUGCUUUUGUACGGAACGAAACGGCUCUCUCUAAUACAGGGGGCUAAUGACGGUACCGUAAGAAUAAGCACCGGCUAACUACGUGCCAGCAGCUGCGGUAAUACGUACGGUGCAAGCGUUAAUCGGGAUUACUGGGCGUAAAGCGUGCGAAGGAUGUGAAAUCCCCGGGCUCAACCUGGGACCUGCAUUUGUGACUGUAUAGCUAGAGUACGGCAGAGGGGGAUGGAAUUCCGCGUGUAGCAGUGAAAUGCGUAGAUAUGCGGAGGAACACCGAUGGCGAAGGCAAUCCCCUGGGCCUGUACUGACGCUCAUGCACGAAAGCGUGGGGAGCAAACAGGAUUAGAUACCCUGGUAGUC